RNAcentral lists this ribosomal RNA (37 nucleotides) under Tulasnella calospora. Its description in RNAcentral is "partial 25S ribosomal RNA". The record is from RNAcentral. Lineage: Eukaryota; Fungi; Basidiomycota; Agaricomycetes; Cantharellales; Tulasnellaceae.
GGGUAGGACANCCCGCUAGACUUAAGCAUAUCAAUAA